Molecule: long non-coding RNA, 438 nt
Filed under: Pan troglodytes (chimpanzee)
Lineage: Eukaryota; Metazoa; Chordata; Mammalia; Primates; Hominidae
Description: long non-coding RNA NONPTRT007012
Source: RNAcentral
GCUCCUCACUCCUUGCAUCAAGCUCCUUCCCACCCUCACCGUCCUGCUCCUCACUCCCUGCAUCAGGCUCCUUCCCACCCUCACCGUCCUGCUCCUCACUCCCUGCAUCAAGCUCCUUCCCACCCUCACCGUCCUGCUCCUCACUCCCUGCAUCAGGCUCCUUCCCACCCUCACCGUCCUGCUCCUCACUCCCUGCAUCAGGCCCCUUCCCAUCCUCAUGCCUGCUCCUCACUCCCUGCAUCAGGCCCCUUUCCACCCUCACUGUCCUGCACCUCACUCCCUGCAUCAGGCCCCUUCCCACCCUCACGCCUGCUCCUCACUCCCUGCAUCAGGCUGCUUCCCACCCUCACGCCUGCUCCUCACUCCCUGCAUCAGGCUCCUUCCCACUCUCACUGUCCUGCUCCUCACUCCCUACAUCAGGCCGCUUCCCACCCUCAC